This 465-nucleotide ribosomal RNA is filed under the name Vreelandella stevensii. RNAcentral describes it as "partial 16S ribosomal RNA". It matches the Rfam family "Bacterial small subunit ribosomal RNA", at positions 338 to 795 of the family's 1533-position model. The record is from RNAcentral. Lineage: Bacteria; Pseudomonadati; Pseudomonadota; Gammaproteobacteria; Oceanospirillales; Halomonadaceae.
CCUACGGGAGGCAGCAGUGGGGAAUAUUGGACAGUGGGGGCAACCCUGAUCCAGCCAUGCCGCGUGUGUGAAGAAGGCCCUCGGGUUGUAAAGCACUUUCAGUGAGGAAGAACGCCUGGUGGUUAAUACCCAUCAGGAAAGACAUCACUCACAGAAGAAGCACCGGCUAACUCCGUGCCAGCAGCCGCGGUAAUACGGAGGGUGCGAGCGUUAAUCGGAAUUACUGGGCGUAAAGCGCGCGUAGGUGGCUUGAUAAGCCGGUUGUGAAAGCCCCGGGCUCAACCUGGGAACGGCAUCCGGAACUGUCAAGCUAGAGUGCAGGAGAGGAAGGUAGAAUUCCCGGUGUAGCGGUGAAAUGCGUAGAGAUCGGGAGGAAUACCAGUGGCGAAGGCGGCCUUCUGGACUGACACUGACACUGAGGUGCGAAAGCGUGGGUAGCAAACAGGAUUAGAUACCCGUGUAGUC